RNAcentral lists this ribosomal RNA (1170 nucleotides) under metagenome. RNAcentral's name for it is "bacterial LSU rRNA". It matches the Rfam family "Bacterial large subunit ribosomal RNA", at positions 1738 to 2925 of the family's 2925-position model. The record is from RNAcentral.
GGGAGAAGGGGUGCUCCAGAGAUGGAGCCGCAGAGAAUCGGCCCAAGCAACUGUUUACCAAAAACACAGGUUUGUGCUAAAUCGAAAGAUGACGUAUACGAGCUGACGCCUGCCCGGUGCUGGAAGGUUAAGAGGAGAUGUGCAAGCAUUGAAUCGAAGCCCCAGUGAACGGCGGCCGUAACUAUAACGGUCCUAAGGUAGCGAAAUUCCUUGUCAGGUAAGUUCUGACCCGCAUGAAAGGCGUAAUGAUUUGGGCACUGUCUCAACAGCCCGCCCGGCGAAAUUGUAGUACCGGUGAAGAUGCCGGUUACCCGCGACAAGACGGAAAGACCCCAUGGAGCUUUACUGUAGCCUAAUAUUGGGUUUCGAUGUUGCAUGCACAGGAUAGAUGGGACACUGGGAAACAAUCGCUUUGGCGGUUGCGGAGUGGCCGUUGGGAUACCAUCCUUGCGAUAUUGGAAUUCUAACCUGCGGCUCUGAAUCGAGUCGGGGGACAUUGUUAGGUGGGCAGUUUGACUGGGGCGGUCGCCUCCUAAAGAGUAACGGAGGCGUUCAAAGGUUCGCUCAGCUUGAACGGAAAUCAAGCAAAAGAGUGCAAACGCAGAAGCGAGCCUAACUGCGAGACUGACGGGUCGAGCAGUAACGAAAGUUGGAGUUAGUGAUCCGGUGGUAUGUGAGUGGAAAUGCCAUCGCUCAACGGAUAAAAGCUACCCUGGGGAUAACAGGCUGAUCUCCCCCAAGAGUCCACAUCGACGGGGAGGUUUGGCACCUCGAUGUCGGCUCAUCGCAUCCUGGGGCUGUAUUCGGUCCCAAGGGUUUGGCUGUUCGCCAAUUAAAGCGGUACGCGAGCUGGGUUCAGAACGUCGUGAGACAGUUCGGUCCCUAUCUAUCACGGGCGUAGGAAAUUUGAGGAGAGCUGACCUUAGUACGAGAGGACCGGGUUGGACGUACCGCUGGUGCACCUGUUGUUCUGCCAAGGGCAUAGCAGGGUAGCUAAGUACGGACGGGAUAAACGCUGAAGGCAUCUAAGCGUGAAGCCCCCUUCGAGAUAAGAUUUCCCAUAGCGUAGGCUAGUAAGGACCCAUGAAGACUACAUGGUUGAUAGGCCGGAGGUGGAAGUGCAGUAAUGUAUGCAGCUGACCGGUACUAAUAGCCCGAGGGCUUGACCUA